UUCCACCACACGCGUCCCAUAACCAUUCAUUUUUCAUUCAUUUUUCAUUCAUUUUUCUUUCCUGUUUGUCUUUUACCACCACGUGCCAACCAUUCAUUCGAAUUUUUGAUCAAUAGGUAUACCCAUCACAUAUUUUUUCUCUUCGUCUUCACUGUUUCUUUUCCUUUUUCGUUUUCUUGCUUCUCUUCCUCCCUACAACUUCCAUCUUCUCCGUUUCUUUCGCUUUCUUUUUUGUUAUUUUUUCUUCUUCUCCAUUCUUUCUAUUUCUCUCGUGCGUUCUUCAUCACUCUCACCAUUCCUGAGUUUGAGGAACAAACUUCUUCCCCUAGAAAAAUUACCAAAAUCCAAGAACAACAGCAACCAACGCCCCUCAAAUCGCAUCUUUCAACAAGAUAUGAUGGAUCCCUACUACAUGAAUUCGAGUGA
This is a non-coding RNA of Vicia faba (fava bean), 426 nucleotides long. Lineage: Eukaryota; Viridiplantae; Streptophyta; Magnoliopsida; Fabales; Fabaceae. The record is from the annotation of a GenBank genome assembly.